This 460-nucleotide ribosomal RNA is filed under the name uncultured Rikenellaceae bacterium. RNAcentral's name for it is "bacterial SSU rRNA". It matches the Rfam family "Bacterial small subunit ribosomal RNA", at positions 923 to 1382 of the family's 1533-position model. Lineage: Bacteria; Pseudomonadati; Bacteroidota; Bacteroidia; Bacteroidales; Rikenellaceae. The record is from RNAcentral.
GCACAAGCGGAGGAACAUGUGGUUUAAUUCGAUGAUACGCGAGGAACCUUACCUGGGCUAGAACGCAUUCGGAAUCAGGCCGAAAGGCCUGCGCCAGCGAUGGCCGCUUGCGAGGUGCUGCAUGGUUGUCGUCAGCUCGUGCCGUGAGGUGUCGGGUUAAGUCCCAUAACGAGCGCAACCCCUACUGCUAGUUGCCAGGCGGGUCAUGCCGGGGACUCUAGCGGAACUGCCAGCGUAAGCUGCGAGGAAGGUGGGGAUGACGUCAAAUCAGCACGGCCCUUACGUCCAGGGCUACACACGUGUUACAAUGGCCGGUACAGAGGGCAGCCACCCCGCGAGGGGGCGCGAAUCCCGAAAGCCGGUCCCAGUUCGGAUCGGAGUCUGCAACCCGACUCCGUGAAGCUGGAUUCGCUAGUAAUCGCGCAUCAGCCACGGCGCGGUGAAUACGUUCCCGGGCCUU